GUGGGGAAUAUUGGACAAUGGGCGCAAGCCUGAUCCAGCCAUGCCGCGUGAGUGAUGAAGGCCCUAGGGUUGUAAAGCUCUUUCACCGAUGAAGAUAAUGACGGUAGUCGGAGAAGAAGCCCCGGCUAACUUCGUGCCAGCAGCCGCGGUAAUACGAAGGGGGCUAGCGUUGUUCGGAAUUACUGGGCGUAAAGCGCACGUAGGCGGAUAUUUAAGUCAGGGGUGAAAUCCCAGAGCUCAACUCUGGAACUGCCUUUGAUACUGGGUAUCUCGAGUAUGGAAGAGGUGAGUGGAAUUCCGAGUGUAGAGGUGAAAUUCGUAGAUAUUCGGAGGAACACCAGUGGCGAAGGCGGCUCACUGGUCCAUUACUGACGCUGAGGUGCGAAAGCGUGGGGAGCAAACAGGAUUAGAAACCCGAGUAGUCC
Molecule: ribosomal RNA, 425 nt
Filed under: uncultured bacterium
Lineage: Bacteria
Description: bacterial SSU rRNA
Rfam family: Bacterial small subunit ribosomal RNA
Source: RNAcentral